AGAUCCUUGAGGACAUUGGCGCAAACACCGAGUUUGAGAGUGUCUUUUGGGCAGCUUCCGGUGGAGGAGUGGCUUGGAGUAGGCUUUGGCUUAGGCUUUGGUUUAGGGACUGGACUGCAGCCACCACCACACGCGGUGGUCAAGGUGAAGAAGAGGAUGUUGAAUGUGAGGAAAAGGACAAGGGGGGCUGAGAUUUUUGAAGCCAUCUCUCGAAAUAGAAUAUAUAUUUCUAUUUUAAGUAAGAAUGUUUAAGAAAGAAAUGUUGCUAAAAGAGAGUGGUGAAGAUAAAUGAAGAGAUAGUGUAUGUAUAUAUAGUAGGUUUUUAAGUUGUUUGACAGUUUAUUAAAGCUGUCAUUUGCAAUUAUAUUUUGAGGAAUUAUUAAACGAAUUUAACUUUCAGUAACAAUAGUCAGAGGAUCUUUGUAUUAUUGAGUGGUUAAGAUACAUUUCAUUUUAACUACAAUAUUGUAAAAAUACUGUACAAUCAUGGAGUUAUGAAAAUAUAAUUAAAAGCACCCUAUUUUGCUGUCAUAGUUCCUUUUUAUUAAUUGUUUAGUGUAUAAAUUAAAACGUAAUCAUAUAAUCUUUGUUAGCUAAUGUAAAAGCACCAUAUGUUUACAUGUUUAUUUUUUGGCUAUUGUAAAAGAUUUAAAUAUUUUAAAAUAACGCAUUUACUCCCAAACAUAUACUAUAAUUUGGGUCAUUAUAUUCAGUUUCACAAAAAUUUGAAAAUAACGCCUUUACUCCCAAACAUAUACUAUAAUUCAAUAUUUCUUUUCAAAUUAAUCAUGUAAUUAUUUUUAAAAUUAAUUAUUGAGACCGAUGUGGUUUUUAGUUUAGCGUUAAAUAUAGAAGAUUGAUUGUGCACAUUAAAAACAAAUAGUUAUACACUUCAAAGUUUUCAGUAUAUUCAAGAGUGUGUAUAUAUAGUUUAGUAUCAAAUGAAUUUGUAAUAUUUUUAAUCACAAUUAAACUAUAUAACAAAACUAGAAUCAAUGCACAUGUACGGGUUCAAUAAUUUACUCAUCAGUCCCAUGUGUAGUGUUGCCCACGCAUAUAAGUUUUGGCUGGCGAUGGUGUUAUUAGCAUUAUGGAAUUUUAUGUCCACUAAAGUCUGGCUUGACGAACUCAAUUUACAUAAAUAUGCACUUCCUUUUCGGCAAGGUGAAAACUAAGUUUACUUUAGAAAUGAAAAUAAAAUAAAAUAAAAUUGGUCUAUAUAUAUAUAUAUAUGAUUGUUUGAGAGAAGUCUUUGAAUCAGAUAAUGCAAAACUUUUACUUGCUUUAAUUUAUUCUAUGUGAUCAGUAUGCUCCAAAUUUGUUUUCCAAUUUCUCUAUUUCUCUAUUACUCGAUAAUUUAAAUUUUAAGGGUGAUUAUUUACCUCAAACCUCUAGAUCUACAUUUUCUGAGUUUCUAAUGUAAAAUUGCACCCUUUACAUUAAAACAAUAGUCAAAGAUUUAAAAAUAAAUCAAUUAAAGUGUAAAUGGUAAAAUGUCAUAAAACAAUUAAAUAUAACCCUCUUACAAAAGUUCAUCUCUUCGUAUUCAAGUAAAUAUUUUUUUCCCUUUCCAUCUUUCGUUCUACUUUAUCUCUCCAUUUAAUCUAAAACUAAUUUCGAAAUGUCACUUAUAAAAUAAUUUAAAUUUCUUUAAGGAAAAACACAAUGCAUACAUGUAACUCGGUAAUAAAUUGAUUGAUUAUAUCUUGUUUACCAUUGUUGAUGACUUCAUAUAUUGUUUACUAUUCUGUCUUACCGUUUUAAUUUUGUUUUUGGUGAUUUCAUAUUAGUUACAUAUGCAUAUCAAUCUACUUAUUUUUAUUUGAUUUUGAGUUGAAAAUUCAUGAUUCAGUAUUAGAGUCUAAUAAGCUAAAUAGAUAAAAUCCUAAAAAGACGAAUGAGCCAAAGACCAUCAUCCCGAAAGGAUGUGUUUGAAAUCACACGUAGAUAUGAGUAAUUGACCAACAAUGGCAUUUUUUUGUCUAUCAAAUCAUUAUCAUCUAUUUCUACAAUUUCUUUCCUGGAUUUUAAGAUAUAUCAUAUUUUUUAUUUUUAUUUCGUAAACAAAUUCAUAUAUUUUCUUACUAUCAUUUUAUUAUUGUUAAUUCUCAUAAAAUAUAAAUUCCAGGGACCAUAAUUACAGUAAUUUAAUUAAUCUUUAUAUGGAGAGAUUAGGUCAGUAUAUAUAGAAUCUUGCUCUUUGGAUCAUAUGACUCUUUGAGAAUAAAAGCGGAAACAAGAGUCUGAUUCUAACUUUAAACCAUUGAUUCAAAAUGAACACAGUAAAAGAAGUAGAAGCAACACUUAUUCGAUUAACAACUGAAAAAGUAGAAUUUAAAGAAUCUUAAUCAAAGAAAAACAUCGAAAAAAUAGAUGAAACAUUAUAACAAAAUCGGAGAGUAGAUAGAUCAAGCACAUUUAAAUCCAGAAGGGACCUUCUUGCCACACACAUUGAGAAGAAGGCUGAGAGAGACAGGAACAUUAAGGUUAAUGCCUAAAACAUUAGCCUUUAUGGCAGUGCAGAGGCAAGCUGCGGCCUCAAGAUCAACCAAACCCUUAAUGAGGGAACAACAUGGCUUUACUGGUGGCGUUCCCAACUCGAUUUUGAGAAGAUCCUUGAGGACAUUGGCGCAAACACCGAGUUUGAGAGUGUCUUUUGGGCAGCUUCCGGUAGAGGAAUGGCUAGGAGUAGGCUUUGGCUUAGGCUUAGGUUUAGGGACUGGACUGCAGCCACCACCACACGCGGUGGUCAAGGUGAAGAAGAGGAUGUUGAAUGUGAGGAAAAUGACUAGGGAGGCUGAGAUUUUUGAAGCCAUCUCUCGAAAUAUAUAUUUCUAUUUUAGGUAAGAAGUGUUG
Molecule: long non-coding RNA, 2856 nt
Filed under: Capsella rubella
Lineage: Eukaryota; Viridiplantae; Streptophyta; Magnoliopsida; Brassicales; Brassicaceae
Description: long non-coding RNA (CRUB_LNC002366)
Source: RNAcentral